AUUCCAUCUAUACUUAAUAACACCCUCAAGAACCUGCAAAGCAAAAAACUUAGUAUUCAGGCUUUGUGUGCUCGAUAGAAUGUGAACCACUUGAAGCCACAUAUCUGGGUUAUUUUGCAAAUCACGCAAAAUAUGGUCCGCUGCAGCUCUCUCUUCCUUAGAUCCGGUUCCAUAGAAAGCAGCAACAGUAGCGUCAAGCAACGAAACAUCAAUGGGCUGACUCAAAUCUCUCAGCUUCUCCGCCGCCAUGUUGAGAACGAAGGAACGAACAGAGUGAGUGAUAAACCCUAGAAGAAAUCAGAAGCAAAGCAGUAAAACCCUAGAAACGAGAAGGAAAACCCUAAGCAGAGAAAGAAAAAGUGAGCGCCUCAAUUGUUAAAAAGGUGUUUUCAAAGAUGUGGAUUUUGUAAA
RNAcentral lists this unclassified non-coding RNA (411 nucleotides) under Hevea brasiliensis (rubber tree). Lineage: Eukaryota; Viridiplantae; Streptophyta; Magnoliopsida; Malpighiales; Euphorbiaceae. The record is from RNAcentral.